This 805-nucleotide ribosomal RNA is filed under the name uncultured bacterium. Its description in RNAcentral is "bacterial SSU rRNA". It matches the Rfam family "Bacterial small subunit ribosomal RNA", at positions 8 to 796 of the family's 1533-position model. The record is from RNAcentral.
AGAGUUUGAUCAUGGCUCAGGAUGAACGCUGGCGGCGUGCCUAAUACAUGCAAGUCGAGCGAACGGACGAGAAGCUUGCUUCUCUGAUGUUAGCGGCGAACGGGUGAGUAACACGUGGAUAACCUACCUAUAAGACUGGGAUAACUUCGGGAAACCGGAGCUAAUACCAGAUAAUAUUUUGAACCGCAUGGUUCAAAAGUGAAAGACGGUCUUGCUGUCACUUAUAGAUGGAUCCGCGCUGCAUUAGCUAGUUGGUAGGUAACGGCUUACCAAGGCAACGAUGCAUAGCCGACCUGAGAGGGUGAUCGGCCACACUGGAACUGAGACACGGUCCAGACUCCUACGGGAGGCAGCAGUAGGGAAUCUUCCGCAAUGGGCGAAAGCCUGACGGAGCAACGCCGCGUGAGUGAUGAAAGUCUUCGGAUCGUAAAACUCUGUUAUUAGGGAAGAACAUAUGUGUAAGUAACUGUGCACAUCUUGACGGUACCUAAUCAGAAAGCCACGGCUAACUACGUGCCAGCAGCCGCGGUAAUACGUAGGUGGCAAGCGUUAUCCGGAAUUAUUGGGCGUAAAGCGCGCGUAGGCGGUUUUUUAAGUCUGAUGUGAAAGCCCACGGCUCAACCGUGGAGGGUCAUUGGAAACUGGAAAACUUGAGUGCAGAAGAGGAAAGUGGAAUUCCAUGUGUAGCGGUGAAAUGCGCAGAGAUAUGGAGGAACACCAGUGGCGAAGGCGACUUUCUGGUCUGUAACUGACGCUGAUGUGCGAAAGCGUGGGGAUCAAACAGGAUUAGAUACCCUGGUAGUCC